This is a non-coding RNA of Podarcis lilfordi (Lilford's wall lizard), 5471 nucleotides long. Lineage: Eukaryota; Metazoa; Chordata; Lepidosauria; Squamata; Lacertidae. The record is from the annotation of a GenBank genome assembly.
GGACCUGCCUCUGAGUAGGCAUUGUUAAGAUUGUGCUGUAAGGCUACAUGUUCCACAUACAUUGAUCAGACAAUAGUUAUUCACUGUGCAUAACUGUGAGACUAUAUGUGCAAAGGCAUAUCUAGGAGUAAGCUCCAUUGAAUUCAGUGGGAUAUCCCUGAGUAGACAUGGAUAGGGUUCAAACAAAGGGAAGCUUUGUCCCACCCCUAUAGUGCCCCUGGGGGGAUGAGUUGCAUCUGCCUCAGGAGCCAAUGUGAAAGGAAAGCAUGAUGACUUUAUUUAUGUAAAGACCUACCAAAGGAAAAAGCAUGGAUUAAAUUGUGUUUUGUUAUUUUAUUUAUUUAUUUAAUAAAACCCAUAUACCGAUUGUAAAAAACAAAACUCAACGCGGUUUAUAAAUACCAAAUGCAAUAUCCAAGAGUAAUGAAUAUAUAAAAAAGGCAAAGGACCCCUGGAUGGUUAAGUCCAGUCAAAGGUGACUAUGGGAUGUGGCACUCAUCUCGCUUUUCAGGCCAAGGGAGCUGGGGUUUGUCCACAGAUAGCUUUCCAGGUCAUGUGGCCAGCAUUACUAAACCACUACUGGUGCAACGGGACACCGUGACGAGUGCCAGAGCAUACGGAAACACUGUUUACCUUCCCAUCGCAGCGGUACCUAUUUAUCUACUUGCGCUUUGGCGUGCUUUCGAACUGCUAGGUUGGCAGAAGCUGGGACAGAGCAACAAGAACUCACUCUGUUGCGGGGAUUCGAACUGCCAACCUUCUGACCAGCAAAUCCAAGAGGCUCAGUGGUUUAGACCACAGCGCCCCUCGUGUAUAUUGGGAUGAAACACAACUUUUUACACCCUCGCCUUCUGUAUAAAUCCUGCUUAGCUGUCUUAAUUUUGGGAGCCUAAUUAAAGUGGGCCAAAUUGUUUUGAUGCUGUUUGUCAUCAAAAACUCUUGCCGAUCUACUGCAAAGGAGAGAUCUUCUAGCUACAGAUCCUGAUCUACCUGCUGCCCAUCCCUGCAUUGCAAUAGCCUGCUUGUCUGAACAGGAUCGGCCAGCCAAGGUAGCAGGAUUUAAUCUCUGCUCCUCAGCUGAGUGGGGAUCGAAGCCCUGCCCAAAAGUGCCCUUUGAAGCAGGGUGUGCAUGCAAGCUACUUUAAAGAGUCUUUUGCAAAGGCUUUAAGACAACUCCUGUACUUCCACUUGAGCUGCCCAAGGGAGUGUGGAGGCUGUCUUAAAGCCUUUUGCAUGUUUCCUCCCUUUUAACUCCACAAUGUUGGUGGCUUAAAAAGCAUGGGGAAACUUUAAAAGAGCUUUGUGUGUCUCCUCCCACUCCACUUCUAAGCCUCUGAGAUCAGGCAUGGGUGUGUGUGUGGGGGUGUGUGUAGCUUAAAAGGGGAGUAUGGGGAAAUGGGCAAAGGGCAAAACCUUCCCCACCUCUGAUUUAAGGCAUUUAUAUGCUGCUUAAUCAUUAACAUUUCUAAGCAGUUUACAUAAAAAUGAACCAUACAGUGAACAUUCAUCAUAGAACUGAACAUAAUCCCAACACUACCUGAAAAUGCAUUUUGGAACCCUCUGGGAAUGCCUUUAAUCCCUCUGAGGUCACUUCCAGCUGACCUGUUCACUGAGCUUUCAUUCUGAUUGGUAUGUGGGGAGUUAGACAAUGUUGCAUGAGGCAAAUGUUAGUCUACUCAUUUCCUGAGCAUUUCCUCAUCACUUCUCUUAUCAGAAAAAGUCUGAUUUGGGGCUGGGGCUGGGGCAGCAAAUAUCAUGGAGCAAUCAGCUUUAAUUGUGCAAACUAAAUUUGCAACGUUGGGAAAUCACUCUGUCUCUCUCAACAUAACUUGCAAAGUUGCUGUGUGGCUGAAAUGUUACCCUCUGUGAGCUCAAAAUACAGGAUAGAUCCUAGGGCGCUGUGCAGGGCUGUGACCCCAAAUAUUUUGCUGCCUGAGGCAAAAGACAAGUUGGCAUCCCUCACCCUUUCGAGAGUAGCAGUUGAAUCGUGAUUCAAAGAGGCGACCAGGCAGUGCCCUCCACUAUACCUGAGAGCCCCCCCCCAUCCAAACAGCUACUGCCUGAGGCAGCCACUUCACUCUGAUCUAUGCUGGGACUGGUGCCAAGGGUGGGUCCCCUUAACAAGUGGGACUAGUACAAAAGGUGUUUUUUAGGGGGCACUAAAAUUAUGGGAGGUGAGGAUUUUGGGAUUUAUUAAGGUUUCCUUGCCAUUCUCUCCAUAAUCCAGGGUAUACUGAGCUCCUUGAAGGAAGAGGGAGAUGUAAGAUUCUGUUACCAUGUUCUAUAACUAUGGUUUGAUGCCUCAUACUAGCAGAAUUUUUAUGUUUGUCUGGAUUUUGGUACUGACAGGAACCCUGAAACUGUAUGGCUCUAGUUGAAGGGGAAAGCUUAUCCUCAGGUGGCAAACAGCUCUUGACCCUAAUAAAAAUUUGUGCUAGUUAAUUUUGAGAUCUAAAGGGCUCCUUGGUUUACAUCCUUUUUGUUACCAUGGGUACAUUUGCUGCAUUGUGUCAGGCAUAAUAACACAUCCCAUAUGAUUGGUAUGUGUAUGUCCUUUGCAUUUUGAAUGGCUUAUGACUGGGCUGCCUACAACACAACUGCAAUUUUCUGCACAUUUACCUGGGAGCAAUGUCCCAUUAAAUAUCCCAUUAAACACUGUGAGUGAAUGAGCCCAAUUUAUUAUUGUUUGCUUCCAUUUGGAAGUAACCUGAUCUUCUAUCAUAGCAGAGUUAAAAUGUAGGGUGGAGCAGAGCUGCCUCUCUCUCUUUCCUGCCGACAUUUUCACCAUCAGAAAUUGUCCUAUUAAAAGGGACUCCCUUGCCAGUGAUCUCUCUCAUUUGCAGAUAUCAGAACAGCUACAUCCCCUCUAUAUCAGCUUCUUCUAAACGGCAGCCUUAUGGAGGUUUGUAGGGGACACUUUUUGUACUUUUGGUGUCAUGUCAGAAUUUUGUAACCUUGGGAUAAAAAGCAGAAGAGAAACUGGCUUUUGAAAUGUGAAUUUUAUUUUAACAGGCCAGUAAUUAUGGAUGUCUUGAAUGAUGUUUUUACUGAUGGUUUUAUUAUAAUUGUAGCUUUUGUAUGGUUAACACUGCCUUGUUUUGAGUGUGUGUGUGUGUGUGUGUUUCUUUAUGAAACUGCAAUUUACUUUGCUUAAAAGGUGUCAUACAUAAAGACCAAGCCGGAUUCUCCCCAAAUAGACAGUUAAAGGACAAUGUCAGACAUAUUAUAAAUAUCAUAGAAUACCUAGAAGUUAAAAAUGAAGUACCAGCGGCCUUACUGUUUAUAGACGCUGAAAAAGCGUUCGAUAACGUUUCAUGGCAGUUUUUGUUAAAGUCUAUGGAGGAAAUGGGGAUCGAGGGCAACUUCAUAGAAGGUAUAAAGGCGAUCUACUCUAACCAAACAGCUAAAUUAAUUGGUAACAAGAAUCUGACAGACACAUUUAGCAUUAUGAAAGGAACAAGACAAGGUUGCCCUCUCUCCCCUUUACUAUUCAUAAUGGUUCUAGAGGUCAUAGCGAAUGAGGUGAGAUACACGCCAGAGAUACGGGGCAUUAGAGUCGGAACAAAGGAAUAUAAGUUGAAAGCUUAUGCAGAUGACCUAGUGUUAUCAUUAGAAGAACCACAAAUAAGCGUCGGUAAAGUGUUGGAACAAUUAGAUGAAUUUGGUAAGGUAUCAGGUUUCAAACUAAAUAAAACAAAGACUAAAAUGUUGGUGAAAAAUAUAGAUAGGAAUACAAAAGAGAACAUAGAACAGGAAUGUGGAAUUAAGGUCUCAAAAAAAGUCAAAUACUUAGGUAUAUGGUUAACUUCAAAAAAUAUCAAUCUAAUUAGUGAUAAUUAUACACCUAUGUGGAAAGAGAUUAAAAAAGAUCUGGAAAUAUGGAAUAGAUUAAAACUUUCAUGGUCUGGAAGGAUGGCGGCAAUCAAAAUGAAUAUCCUCCCAAAAAUGCUGUUCUUAUUUCAAACCAUUCCGGUGAUUAGAGGAUCCGCGAUUUUUAAGGAAUGGCAAAAAAGUCUUUCAAAAUUUAUAUGGCAGGCAAAAAGGCCAAGAAUUAAAUUUCAAAUAUUAACAGACAGGAGGGAAAGAGGGGCUUUGCUGUGCCAAACCUAAGAUUAUACUAUGAGGCCUCCAGCCUAUGUUGGCUUAAAGAAUGGAUUACCCUAGAGAAUUUAGAUCUGUUAGACUUAGAAGGCUUUAACAAUAGAUAUGGUUGGCAUGCUUACUUGUGGCUCAAUAAAGGAAAGGUCCAUAAAGGAUUCUCCAAUCAUAUUUUCAGAGGAGCAUUGCUUGAAAUUUGGGGAAAAAAUAAGAAACUUUUAGAAAAGAACACUCCUUGGUGGCUAUCCCCGACAGACAUUCUAACAAUAAAAAAGGUAAAUAUGGAAACGAAAAGGCUAACAUAUGAAGACAUACUGGUUAAAACGGAAAAAGGUUGGAAGAUUAAACCAUAUGAUGAACUGAAAGACAGACUAACAGGCUGGUUGCAAUACCAUCAGAUAAAUGCACUUUGGAAUGAGGAUAAAAAAUCGGGGAUGAACGAGAAAAAAUCAAGAUACCAGACAGAGGGAUUAGAAGGAAAACCAAACUGUUAGCUAAGAUGUAUAAUUUGUUGUUAGAAUGGGACACAAAAGACGAAGAAGUAAAGGAGGUAAUGACAAAAUGGGCCAUGGACUUAGGACAUAAUAUAGAGUACGAAAAAUGGGAGAGGUUAUGGAACAGAGGAAUGAAAUUCACAGGGUGUGUCACAUUAAGGGAAAACCUAGAGAAAAUGAUGUAUUGUUGGUAUAUCACACCGGUAAAAUUGGAUAAAAUGUAUAAAAGCGGAAACAAAAUGUGUUGGAGAUGUAAGCAGAAGGAGGGGGAUUUUUACCACAUGUGGUGGGCGUGUGACAAAAUAAAAAAAUUUUGGGAGCUCAUUUAUAAUGAAUUAAAAAAUUUUUUUAGGUACACCUUUUCAAAAAAACCAGAGGCACUCCUCUUAGGAAUAAUUGGGGAUGAAAUCAAAAGAAAAGACCAAAACCUAUUUCAGUAUGUGACAACAGCAGCUAGGAUAUUAAUAGCUCAAAAAUGGAAAUCAGUGGAAAUUCCCACGAUUACGGAUUGGCAAACAAAAUUAUUCGAAUACGCAGAAUUGGCAAGAAUGACAAACAAAAUCAGACACCAAAAGGAAACAAAGUUUAAUGAAGAGUGGAGUAAAUUUGUAACCUAUAUUGAGAGUAAUUGUGGUAAAUUAAAAACUACAGCAGGCUUAACAUAAUCCUUGUUAUGCGUAAAUUUUUGACAUAGAAACUGCAGGAGAAGAAAAAAUGUAAGAAAACCGCAGCAGGAGGGGAGGGAGGUCACGAUGCGUGUUAACGCAGUGUAAAUAAGUGAAUGACACUAAACACUGAUAGAUAAGAGUGUUCAUUGUCUAUUCUUAUAUGCCUUUUUUUUCUUCUGUUAUAUGUUUUCUGUUUUUUUGUGAAAAUCUC